UGGAGGGCAAGUCUGGUCCCAGCAGCCGCGGUAAUUCCAGCUCCAAUAGCGUAUAUUAAAGUUGUUGUGGUUAAAAAGCUCGUAGUUGAACCUUGGGCCUGGCUGGCCGGUCCGCCUCACCGCGUGUACUGGUCCGGCCGGGCCUUUCCCUCUGUGGAACCCCAUGCCCUUCACUGGGUGUGGCGGGGAAACAGGACUUUUACUGUGAAAAAAUUAGAGUGCUCCAGGCAGGCCUAUGCUCGAAUACAUUAGCAUGGAAUAAUAGAAUAGGACGUGUGGUUCUAUUUUGUUGGUUUCUAGGACCGCCGUAAUGAUUAAUAGGGACAGUCGGGGGCAUCAGUAUUCAAUUGUCAGAGGUGAAAUUCUUGGAUUUAUUGAAGACUAACUACUGCGAAAGCAUUUGCCAAGGAUGUUUUCAUUAAUCAGGAACGAAAGUUAGGGGAUCGAAGACGAUCAGAUACCGUCGUAGUCUUAACCAUAAACUAUGCCGACUAGGGAUCGGACGGUGUUAUUUUUUGACCCGUUCGGCACCUUACGG
Molecule: ribosomal RNA, 538 nt
Filed under: uncultured Fusarium
Lineage: Eukaryota; Fungi; Ascomycota; Sordariomycetes; Hypocreales; Nectriaceae
Description: SSU rRNA
Rfam family: Eukaryotic small subunit ribosomal RNA
Source: RNAcentral